AAGCGCAGAUCACUUCCAUUCCACAUCCCUUCCAGAAGCGCCAAUCCUAGAGCAUCUUCCAAUGGCCAUGUCCCAUCGCCACGGUCAACCUUUCAAUCGCCCGAUGCAGCUGCAGUCCAAUCUGCCCUUUCUAUGGACAAAAAUGAAGGUAUUAGAUUUCUCGUAUCUCUACAUCUCUAAAGAGGUUGUAGAACAGAUGAACUGACGAUAACCCAAGUGACAAAACUAUUUCUAGUAAUAUGUUUGGCUAAGGCUUGUAGCUAUGUCCAUUUUUUUAUUUUUAUUCAGGAGUCCAAACAAGAAGAAAAGCUUACGAGAAGACGAUCGAAGCGGUACUUACGGAGUCGGCUUUGGAGUUCCAAAAGAUGCAGCAAGAUUUGGUCAAUCCGCCUCUAGUGGGUAUUACAGAGUCCAGAGCGUCCAAUAGCAUCGUAGCAGAGCCCGAAGAAUCACCGGCUACACAUACACCGUUUCCGACAUCUAACAAGA
This 489-nucleotide long non-coding RNA is filed under the name Physcomitrium patens. Its description in RNAcentral is "long non-coding RNA (PPAT_LNC014384)". Lineage: Eukaryota; Viridiplantae; Streptophyta; Bryopsida; Funariales; Funariaceae. The record is from RNAcentral.